RNAcentral lists this ribosomal RNA (569 nucleotides) under Salmonella enterica subsp. enterica serovar Typhimurium. RNAcentral's name for it is "bacterial LSU rRNA". It matches the Rfam family "Bacterial large subunit ribosomal RNA", at positions 789 to 1270 of the family's 2925-position model. Lineage: Bacteria; Pseudomonadati; Pseudomonadota; Gammaproteobacteria; Enterobacterales; Enterobacteriaceae. The record is from RNAcentral.
UUGAAAAAGUAGCGGAUGACCUGUGGCUGGGGGUGAAAGGCCAAUCAAACCGGGAGAUAGCUGGUUCUACCCGAAGGCUAUUUAGGUAGCGCCUCGUGAAGUCAUCUCCGGGGGUAGAGCAGUGUUUCGGCGAGGGGGCCAUCCCGGCUUACCAACCCGAUGCAAACUGCGAAUACCGGAGAAUGUUAUCACGGGAGACACACGGCGGGUGCUAACGUCCGUCGUGAAGAGGGAAACAACCCAGACCGCCAGCUAAGGUCCCAAAGUCAUGGUUAAGUGGGAAACGAUGUGGGAAGGCCCAGACAGCCAGGAUGUUGGCUUAGAAGCAGCCAUCAUUUAAAGAAAGCGUAAUAGCUCACUGGUCGAGUCGGCCUGCGCGGAAGAUGUAACGGGGCUAAACCAUGCACCGAAGCUGCGGCAGCGAACGUAUCACCCAAGACAACUUUACGGAGUUGACGAUUGACGGAGCGAAGCGACGUCAAAGCGUUCAUUAAAGUCGAGUUGGCUUAGGGAUACGUUCGUUGGGUAGGGGAGCGUUCUGUAAGCCUGUGAAGGUGUGUCGUGAGGCA